UUCUAAGAAGAUAAUCCUUUGAAAAAUAUACUUUGGAUGAUAAAAACGGAUGAUUCGAUAGGAACAAGUGUAACCCAUUUCUCGGGAAAAGAUUGGAUAAAACGAUUUAACGAAGGUA
Molecule: unclassified non-coding RNA, 118 nt
Filed under: Polistes fuscatus (common paper wasp)
Lineage: Eukaryota; Metazoa; Arthropoda; Insecta; Hymenoptera; Vespidae
Description: uncharacterized LOC122514185, transcript variant X1
Source: RNAcentral